UACGAAGGGUCCAAGCGUUAUCCGGAUUUAUUGGGUUUAAAGGGUGCGUAGGCGGAUUAUUAAGUCAGUGGUGAAAGCUCCAUGCUCAACAUGGAAAUUGCCAUUGAUACUGAUGAUCUUGAGUACACUUGAAGUGGGCGGAAUAUGUCAUGUAGAGGUGAAAUGCUUAGAUAUGACACAGAACACCGAUAGCGUAGGCAGCUUACUACACAAAUAUUGACACUGAGGCACGAAAGCGUGGGGAUCAAACAGG
RNAcentral lists this ribosomal RNA (253 nucleotides) under uncultured bacterium. RNAcentral's name for it is "partial 16S ribosomal RNA". It matches the Rfam family "Bacterial small subunit ribosomal RNA", at positions 524 to 776 of the family's 1533-position model. The record is from RNAcentral.